GAUGAACGCUGGCGGCGUGCUUAACACAUGCAAGUCGAACGGAAAGGCCCAAGCUUGCUUGGGUACUCGAGUGGCGAACGGGUGAGUAACCCGUGGGUGAUCUGCCCUGCACUUCGGGAUAAGCCUGGGAAACUGGGUCUAAUACCGGAUAGGUCCACUUUUUGGAUGGUGUGGUGGAUAGUUUUUCGGUUUGGGAUGAGGUAGCGGAGUAUCAGCUUGUUGUUGGGGUAAUGGCCUACCAAGGCGUAGACGGGUAGCCGGCCUGAGAGAGUGUACGGCCACAUUGGACUCGAGAGGGGGGCCAGAGUCCUGCGGGAGGCAGCAGGGGGGAAUAUUGGACAAAGGGCGGAAGCGUGAGGGAGGGAGGCCGCGUGGGGGAUGACGGCCUUCGGGAUGUAAGAUCCUAUCGCUAGGGAAGAAGCGUUUUUGUGACGGUACCUGGAGAAGAAGCACCGGCUAACUACGUG
This 467-nucleotide ribosomal RNA is filed under the name uncultured bacterium. RNAcentral describes it as "partial 16S ribosomal RNA". It matches the Rfam family "Bacterial small subunit ribosomal RNA", at positions 28 to 507 of the family's 1533-position model. The record is from RNAcentral.